GAUGAACGCUGGCGGCGUGCUUAACACAUGCAAGUCGAACGAGCCUUCGGGCUAGUGGCGGACGGGUGAGUAACGCGUGGGAAUCUGCCCUCAGGAGGGGGAUAACGGCCGGAAACGGCCGCUAAUACCCCAUAUGCCGAGAGGUGAAACGAAUUUCGCCUGAGGAUGAGCCCGCGUCUGAUUAGCUAGUUGGUGAGGUAAUGGCUCACCAAGGCAUCGAUCAGUAGCUGGUCUGAGAGGAUGAUCAGCCACACUGGGACUGAGACACGGCCCAGACUCCUACGGGAGGCAGCAGUGGGGAAUUUUCCGCAAUGGGCGCAAGCCUGACGGAGCAACGCCGCGUGAGGGACGAAGGCCUCUGGGCUGUAAACCUCUUUUCUCAAGGAAGAAGA
Molecule: ribosomal RNA, 392 nt
Filed under: uncultured bacterium
Lineage: Bacteria
Description: bacterial SSU rRNA
Rfam family: Bacterial small subunit ribosomal RNA
Source: RNAcentral